Molecule: ribosomal RNA, 264 nt
Filed under: uncultured bacterium
Lineage: Bacteria
Description: partial small subunit ribosomal RNA
Rfam family: Bacterial small subunit ribosomal RNA
Source: RNAcentral
AGGACGAACGCUGGCGGCGUGCUUAACACAUGCAAGUCGAGCGGUAAGGCCCCAAGCUUGCUUGGGGUACACGAGCGGCGAACGGGUGAGUAACACGUGAGUAAUCUGCCCUUCACUCUGGGAUAAGCUUCGGAAACGGGGUCUAAUACCGGAUACGACUGCCUCCUGCAUGGGAUGGUGGUGGAAACUUUUGUGGGUGGGGGAUGUGCUCGCGGCCUAUCAGCUUGUUGGUGGGGUAAUGGCCUACCAAGGCUUCGACGGGUA